GCACGUGUACAGCUGGAUGCAAGCCACGUGUCCAGGUGUGUAACUGCCAGGAGAGAGAAAGUGUCCAGGUAUAUAAGAGUUUCCCAACGAACUUCUGAGGUACACACGUUCAGAUUGUCUUCUUUACGCUUGCGAGUUCUUGAGUAUACUGAGAGAGAACUGGUUCACGGUUCCUUGAGAGAGUUCAUGAGUUUAACUCUUAGUAAUUGGUGGUUCAGUCACUGACUUGGGCGUUGGAGUGCGAUCGGCCGCAGCGGCGCCGUUCUGUUCUUUUGCAGGUUCUUGAGGUGGAUCGCGGUGAAGGACGGAGGCAAACACGACGCAUACGUCGAUCCAAGUUUGACGAGGCAAAGCUCCAGCGUU
Molecule: long non-coding RNA, 363 nt
Filed under: Phaseolus vulgaris (common bean)
Lineage: Eukaryota; Viridiplantae; Streptophyta; Magnoliopsida; Fabales; Fabaceae
Description: long non-coding RNA (PVUL_LNC003102)
Source: RNAcentral